UGGGGAAUUUUGGACAAUGGGCGAAAGCCUGAUCCAGCAAUGCCGCGUGUGUGAAGAAGGCCUUCGGGUUGUAAAGCACUUUUGUCCGGAAAGAAAUCCUUGGCUCUAAUACAGUCGGGGGAUGACGGUACCGGAAGAAUAAGCGCCGGCUAACUACGUGCCAGCAGCCGCGGUAAUACGUAGGGUGCAAGCGUUAAUCGGAAUUACUGGGCGUAAAGCGUGCGCAGGCGGUUUGCUAAGACCGAUGUGAAAUCCCCGGGCUCAACCUGGGAACUGCAUUGGUGACUGGCAGGCUAGAGUAUGGCAGAGGGGGGUAGAAUUCCACGUGUAGCAGUGAAAUGCGUAGAGAUGUGGAGGAAUACCGAUGGCGAAGGCAGCCCCCUGGGCCAAUACUGACGCUCAUGCACGAAAGCGUGGGGAGCAAACAGGAUUAGAUACCCUGGUAGUCCACGCCCUAAAACGAUGUCAACUAGUUGUUGGGGAUUCAUUUCCUUAGUAACGUAGCUAACGCGUGAAGUUGACCGCCUGGGGAGUACGGUCGCAAGAUUAAAACUUAAAUGAAUUGACGGGGUCAUAGCUGUUUCCU
Molecule: ribosomal RNA, 586 nt
Filed under: uncultured bacterium
Lineage: Bacteria
Description: partial 16S ribosomal RNA
Rfam family: Bacterial small subunit ribosomal RNA
Source: RNAcentral